GACGAACGCUGGCGGCGUGCCUAAUACAUGCAAGUCGAACGAGAGCAACCGGUGCUUGCACUGGUCAAUCUAGUGGCGAACGGGUGAGUAACACGUGGGUAACCUGCCCAUCAGAGGGGGAUAACAUCCGGAAACGGAUGCUAAAACCGCAUAGGUCUUCGAACCGCAUGGUUUGAAGAGGAAAAGAGGCGCAAGCUUCUGCUGAUGGAUGGACCCGCGGUGCAUUAGCUAGUUGGUGAGGUAACGGCUCACCAAGGCCGGGAUGCAUAGCCGACCUGAGAGGGUGAUCGGCCACAUUGGGACUGAGACACGGCCCAAACUCCUACGGGAGGCAGCAGUAGGGAAUCUUCCGCAAUGGACGCAAGUCUGACGGAGCAACGCCGCGUGAGUGAAGAAGGUUUUCGGAUCGUAAAACUCUGUUGUUAGGGAAGAACAAGUGCUAGAGUAACUGUUAGCGCCUUGACGGUAUCUAACCAGAAAGCCACGGCUAACUACGUG
Molecule: ribosomal RNA, 498 nt
Filed under: uncultured bacterium
Lineage: Bacteria
Description: partial 16S ribosomal RNA
Rfam family: Bacterial small subunit ribosomal RNA
Source: RNAcentral